RNAcentral lists this ribosomal RNA (459 nucleotides) under uncultured bacterium. RNAcentral describes it as "partial 16S ribosomal RNA". It matches the Rfam family "Bacterial small subunit ribosomal RNA", at positions 338 to 795 of the family's 1533-position model. The record is from RNAcentral.
CCUACGGGUGGCAGCAGUGAGGAAUAUUGGUCAAUGGCCGCGAGGCUGAACCAGCCAAGUCGCGUGAAGGAAGACGGCCCUACGGGUUGUAAACCUCUUUUGUCGGGGAGCAAAGCGAACCACGUGUGGCUCAUUUAGAGUACCCGAAGAAAAAGCAUCGGCUACAUCCGUGCCAGCAUCCGCGGUAAUACGGAGGAUGCGAGCGUUAUCCGGAUUUGUUGGGUUUAAGGGGUGCGCAGGCGGAGGUGCAAGUCAGCGGUAAAAUUGCGGGGCUCAACCCCGUACUGCCGUUGAUACUGCAUCCCUUGAGUGCGCGAGAGGUAUGCGGAAUGCGUGGUGUAGCGGUGAAAUGCAUAGAUAUCACGCAGAACUCCGAUUGCGAAGGCAGCAUACCGGCGCGCAACUGACGCUCAUGCACGAAAGCGUGGGUAUCGAACAGGAUUAGAUACCCGUGUAGUC